GCGAUGAGCUGAAUUGUGUAAGCCGAUGUACAUGCCUUUACGGCACACACGAAUGUGGCGUGUGGUGCAUCGCCUCAAUACGCAAAAGACGUUUGCCUUAGGCAAACGUC
This 110-nucleotide small RNA is filed under the name Bacillus subtilis. RNAcentral describes it as "BsrF". It matches the Rfam family "BsrF". Lineage: Bacteria; Bacillati; Bacillota; Bacilli; Caryophanales; Bacillaceae. The record is from RNAcentral. RNAcentral also lists the same sequence under 3 other names.